This 125-nucleotide small RNA is filed under the name Marmota monax (woodchuck). Lineage: Eukaryota; Metazoa; Chordata; Mammalia; Rodentia; Sciuridae. The record is from RNAcentral.
GCUAGGCACAGUGGUGCAUGCCUGUAAUCCCAGUGGCUCAGGAGGCUGAGGCAGGAGGUUCACAAGUUUGAGGCCAGCCUUAGCAACUUAGCCAGGCCCUAGCAUUUUAGUGAGACUAGCCUCAA